CAAUAGCGUAUAUUAAAGUUGUUGCAGUUAAAAAGCUCGUAGUUGGAUUUUGGGACAGGAUGAGCGGUCUGCCGAAAGGUUUGUACUGAGCGUUCUGUUCUUCCUUCCGUAGACUGCGUCUGUUCUUAACUGAAUGGGCGUUUGGAUGCGGAUCGUUUACUUUGAACAAAUUAGAGUGUUUAAAGCAGGCCUUUGCUUGAAUACAUUAGCAUGGAAUAAUGGAAUAGGACUUUGGUUCUAUUUUGUUGGUUUCUAGGACCUAAGUAAUGAUUAAUAGGGAUAGUUGGGGGCGAUUAAUAUUUAAUUGUCAGAGGUGAAAUUCUUGGAUUUAUGAAAGAUUAACUUCUGCGAAAGCAUUUGCCAAGGAUGUUUUCAUUAAUCAAGAACGAAAGUUAAGGGAUCGAAGACGAUUAGAUACCAU
This 421-nucleotide ribosomal RNA is filed under the name uncultured eukaryote. RNAcentral's name for it is "SSU rRNA". It matches the Rfam family "Eukaryotic small subunit ribosomal RNA", at positions 592 to 1018 of the family's 1831-position model. The record is from RNAcentral.